GAUCCUGGCUCAGGAUGAACGCUAGCUACAGGCUUAACACAUGCAAGUCGAGGGGUAGCAUGGUCUUAGCCUGCUAAGGCCGAUGGCGACCGGCGCACGGGUGAGUAACACGUAUCCAACCUGCCGUCUACUCUUGGACAGCCUUCUGAAAGGAAGAUUAAUACAAGAUGGCAUCAUGAGUUCGCAUGUUCACAUGAUUAAAGGUAUUCCGGUAGACGAUGGGGAUGCG
This 229-nucleotide ribosomal RNA is filed under the name uncultured bacterium. RNAcentral describes it as "partial 16S ribosomal RNA". It matches the Rfam family "Bacterial small subunit ribosomal RNA", at positions 15 to 235 of the family's 1533-position model. The record is from RNAcentral.